ACGGCAUAUCUAGAAGGCGUUUAGAGGUGAGCUGAACUCACGGUGUAGGGUGAAAUCCGUUGAUAUCUCGGCGAAUACCAAAUGCGAAGGCAGCUCACUGGGACGUUCUUGACGCUGAGGCACGAAAGCAUGGGUAGCGAACGGGAUUAGAUACCCCGGUAGUCCAUGCCCUAAACGCUGUCUGCUAGUCAUAGGGAGAAUCGACCCUUUCUGUGACGUAGGUAACCCGUUAAGCAGACCGCCUGGGUAGUACGAGCGCAAGCUUAAAACUCAAAGGAAUAGACGGGGGCUCGCACAAGCGGUGGAGCGCGUGGCUUAAUUCGUCGCUAAGCGAAAAACCUUACCAAGGCUAGAUAUCCUACUGCACGACCGGGGAAACUCGGUAAGCUUUCGAAGGUGUAGGACAGGUGAUGCAUGGCCGUCGUCAGUUCGUGGCUUGAGCUGUUCCCUUAAGUGGGGAAACGAACGCAACCCUCGUUGCCUGUUACAAGUGUCAGGCGAGACUGCUCCCUCACGGGAGAGGAAGGUGAGGAUGACGCUAGGUCAGCAUGUCCCUUGAUGCCUUGGGCUGCACACACGCUACAAUGGAACGCACAACGGGACGCCAUACCGUAAGGUGGAGCAAAUCCUAAUAAAACGUUCCUCAGUUCGGAUUGUGGGCUGCAACUCGCCCACAUGAAGUCGGAAUCGCUAGUAAUCGCGGAUCAGCACGCCGCGGUGAUACGUUCCCGAGCCUUGUACUCACCGCCCGUCAAGUCAGGGGAGUCGGGAGUGCCCGAAGUACUGCCUCGAGCAGUCCUACGGUAAGCUCGAUAANAAGGACUAAGUCGUAACA
Molecule: ribosomal RNA, 835 nt
Filed under: uncultured organism
Description: bacterial SSU rRNA
Rfam family: Bacterial small subunit ribosomal RNA
Source: RNAcentral